CUGGGUUGAACUACGUAGGAAAAGCCACAGAGAUGUGGUGUCCGAAAGGGCCUGCGAUAGGUGGUGCAUGGCUGUCGUCAGCUCGUGUCGUGAGAUGUUGGGUUAAGUCCCGCAACGAGCGCAACCCUUAUCCUAUGUUACCAGCGGGUUAUGCCGGGGACCCGUAGGAGACUGCCGGGGUCAACUCGGAGGAAGGUGGGGAUGACGUCAAGUCAUCAUGCCCCUUAUGUCCAGGGCUGCACACAUGCUACAAUGGCCGGUACAAAGGGCUGCUAUCCCGCGAGGGUGAGCGAAUCCCAGAAAGCCGGUCUCAGUUCGGAUUGGAGUCUGCAACUCGACUCCAUGAAGUCGGAGUCGCUAGUAAUCCCGGAUCAGCAACGCCGGGGUGAAUA
RNAcentral lists this ribosomal RNA (392 nucleotides) under uncultured bacterium. RNAcentral describes it as "bacterial SSU rRNA". It matches the Rfam family "Bacterial small subunit ribosomal RNA", at positions 975 to 1368 of the family's 1533-position model. The record is from RNAcentral.